GAUGAACGCUAGCGGCAGGCCUAACACAUGCAAGUCGAGGGGCAGCACAGGUAGCAAUACUGGGUGGCGACCGGCGGAUGGGUGCGUAACGCGUAUGCAACCUACCAUUGAUUGGGGCAUAGCCCGAAGAAAUUCGGAUUAAUACUCCAUAAUAUUCAUCAAAGGCAUCUUUUAUGAAUUAAAGCUUUUGCGAUCAAUGAUGGGCAUGCGUGACAUUAGUUAGUUGGUGAGGUAACGGCUCACCAAAACGAUGAUGUCUAGGGGUUCUGAGAGGAUUAUCCCCCACACCUGGUACUGAGACACGGACCAGACUCCUACGGGAGGCAGCAGUGAGGAAUAUUGGUCAAUGGACGCAAGUCUGAACCAGCCAUGCCGCGUGCAGGAUGACGGCCCUAUGGGUUGUAAACUGCUUUUCCACGGGAAGAACCCUCGACGUGUCGGAGACUGACGGUACCGUGGGAAUAAGCAUCGGCUAACUCCGUGCC
Molecule: ribosomal RNA, 485 nt
Filed under: uncultured bacterium
Lineage: Bacteria
Description: bacterial SSU rRNA
Rfam family: Bacterial small subunit ribosomal RNA
Source: RNAcentral